This 504-nucleotide ribosomal RNA is filed under the name uncultured bacterium. RNAcentral's name for it is "bacterial SSU rRNA". It matches the Rfam family "Bacterial small subunit ribosomal RNA", at positions 18 to 518 of the family's 1533-position model. The record is from RNAcentral.
CCUGGCUCAGGAUGAACGCUAGCGGCAGGCUAACACAUGCAAGUCGAGGGGCAUCGGGAGUAGCAAUACUGCCGGCGACCGGCGCAAGGGUGCGUAACGCGUGAGCAACAUGCCCGUAUCAGGGGGAUAAUCCAUGGAAACGUGGUCUAAUACCCCAUAGUAAUUAUGUAAGGCAUCUUAUAUAAUUUAAAGCUUUGGUGGAUACGGAUUGGCUCGCGUGACAUUAGCUGGAUGGUAAGGUAACGGCUUACCAUGGCUACGAUGUCUAGGGGUUCUGAGAGGAAGGUCCCCCACACUGGAACUGAGACACGGUCCAGACUCCUACGGGAGGCAGCAGUGAGGAAUAUUGGACAAUGGAUGGAAAUCUGAUCCAGCCAUGCCGCGUGACAGGAAGACGGCCCUAUGGGUUGUAAACUGCUUUUGUAUGGGAGCAAUAAGGGCUACGUGUAGUCCGAUGAGAGUACCAUACGAAUAAGCACCGGCUAACUCCGUGCCAGCAGCGGC